GCCGCCCCCGCCCGACGGGGUGCAGCAGGCGCGAAAACUUGGCAAUGCGAGAAAUCGUGACCAGGGAACUCCAAGUGCGUAGGGUAAGACCUACGCUUUUCUUGACUCUUCAAAGGUCUUGGAAUAAGGGGUGGGUAAGGACGGUGCCAGCCGCCGCGGUAAUACCGGCGCCUCAAGUGGUAGUCGCUUUUAUUGGGCCUAAAACGUCCGUAGCCGGUCUGGUGCAUUCGUGGGUAAAUCAACCCGCUCAACGGGUUGAAUUCUGCGAGCACGGCCAGACUUGGGACCGGGAGAGGUGUGGGGUACUCUCAGGGUAGGGGUAAAAUCCUGUCAUCCUGAGAGGACCACCUGUUGCGAAGGCGCCACACUAGAACGGAUCCGACGGUCAGGGACGAAACCUAGGGGCACGAACCGGAUUAGAUACCCGGGUAGUCCUAGGUGUAAACGCUGUGGACUUGAUGUUGGGGGCGCUCCGAGCGCUCUCAGUGUCGAAGCGAAGGUGAUAANUCCACUGCNGNU
This 519-nucleotide ribosomal RNA is filed under the name uncultured archaeon. RNAcentral describes it as "bacterial SSU rRNA". It matches the Rfam family "Archaeal small subunit ribosomal RNA", at positions 311 to 828 of the family's 1478-position model. The record is from RNAcentral.